This 404-nucleotide ribosomal RNA is filed under the name uncultured bacterium. RNAcentral's name for it is "bacterial SSU rRNA". It matches the Rfam family "Bacterial small subunit ribosomal RNA", at positions 975 to 1375 of the family's 1533-position model. The record is from RNAcentral.
CAGCCCUUGACAUGGGGGUCGCGGGUCCCGGAGACGGGACCUUUCAGUUCGGCUGGACCCCACACAGGUGCUGCAUGGCUGUCGUCAGCUCGUGUCGUGAGAUGUUGGGUUAAGUCCCGCAACGAGCGCAACCCUCGCCUUCAGUUGCCAUCGGGUAGGGCCGGGCACUCUGGAGGAACUGCCGGUGACAAGCCGGAGGAAGGUGGGGAUGACGUCAAGUCCUCAUGGCCCUUACGGGCUGGGCUACACACGUGCUACAAUGGCGGUGACAAUGGGUUGCGAUCCCGCGAGGGUGAGCUAAUCUCAAAAAGCCGUCUCAGUUCGGAUUGCACUCUGCAACUCGGGUGCAUGAAGUUGGAAUCGCUAGUAAUCGUGGAUCAGCACGCCACGGUGAAUACGUUCCC